RNAcentral lists this ribosomal RNA (498 nucleotides) under uncultured bacterium. RNAcentral describes it as "partial 16S ribosomal RNA". It matches the Rfam family "Bacterial small subunit ribosomal RNA", at positions 899 to 1397 of the family's 1533-position model. The record is from RNAcentral.
ACUCAAAUGAAUUGACGGGGGCCCGCACAAGCAGUGGAGCAUGUGGUUUAAUUCGAUGCAACGCGAAGAACCUUACCCAGGUUAGAAGUACAGAGGAAUGUUGCAGAGAUGUAACAGCCCGCAAGGGCCUUUGUAUAGGUGCUGCAUGGCUGUCGUCAGCUCGUGCCGUGAGGUGUUGGGUUAAGUCCCGCAACGAGCGCAACCCUUAUCAUUAGUUGCCAACGCGUAAUGGCGGGGACUCUAGUGAGACUGCCUAGGUUAACUAGGAGGAAGGUGAGGAUGACGUCAAGUCCGCAUGGCCUUUAUGUCUGGGGCUACACACGUGCUACAAUGGUCGGUACAGAAGGCAGCGAAACAGUGAUGUGGAGCAAAUCCCCAAAGCCGAUCUCAGUUCAGAUUGUAGUCUGCAACUCGACUACAUGAAGCUGGAAUUGCUAGUAAUGACGUGUCAGCAACAACGUCGUGAAUACGUUCCCGGGCCUUGUACACACCGCCCGU